This 464-nucleotide ribosomal RNA is filed under the name uncultured bacterium. RNAcentral's name for it is "partial 16S ribosomal RNA". It matches the Rfam family "Bacterial small subunit ribosomal RNA", at positions 338 to 795 of the family's 1533-position model. The record is from RNAcentral.
CCUACGGGAGGCAGCAGUGGGGAAUCUUCCGCAAUGGGCGAAAGCCUGACGGAGCAACGCCGCGUGAUCGAAUGAAGGCCUUCGGGUUGUAAAGAUCUGUUGACAGGGACGAAUAAGCAAUGCGAAUAGUUUUGUGUCAGAAGGUACCUGUUUAGAACGCUCCGGCUACAUACGUGCACGCAGCCGCGGUAAUACGUAGGGAGAAAGCGUUGGCCGGAAGUACUGGGCGUAAGGGGCGAGUAGUUGGGCGCUUACGUCAGGUGUGAAAACUCCGGGCUCAACCUGGAGACUGCACUUGAAACUGGGUGUCUUGAGGGCAGGAGAGGAAAGUGGAAUUCCUAGUGUAGCGGUGAAAUGCGUAGAUAUUAGGAGGAACACCAGUGGCGAAGGCGACUUUCUGGACUGUACCUGACGCUGAGGCGCGAAAGCGUGGGUAGCGAACGGGAUUAGAUACCCCUGUAGUC